AUUGAACGCUGGCGGCAUGCCUUACACAUGCAAGUCGAACGGCAGCGGGGGAGAAGCUUGCUUUUCCUGCCGGCGAGUGGCGAACGGGUGAGUAAUACAUCGGAACGUGCCCUGUAGUGGGGGAUAACUAGUCGAAAGAUUAGCUAAUACCGCAUACGACCUGAGGGUGAAAGUGGGGGACCGCAAGGCCUCAUGCUAUAGGAGCGGCCGAUGUCUGAUUAGCUAGUUGGUGGGGUAAAGGCCUACCAAGGCGACGAUCAGUAGCUGGUCUGAGAAGACGAUCAGCCACACUGGGACUGAGACACGGCCCAGACUCCUACGGGGGGCAGCAGUGGGGAAUUUUGGACAAUGGGCGAAAGCCUGAUCCAGCAAUGCCGCGUGUGUGAAGAAGGCCUUCGGGUUGUAAAGCACUUUUGUCCGGAAAGAAAUGGCUCUGGUUAAUACCUGGGGUCGAUGACGGUACCGGAAGAAUAAGGACCGGCUAACUACGUGCCAGCCGCCGCGGUAA
RNAcentral lists this ribosomal RNA (508 nucleotides) under uncultured bacterium. RNAcentral describes it as "partial 16S ribosomal RNA". It matches the Rfam family "Bacterial small subunit ribosomal RNA", at positions 30 to 523 of the family's 1533-position model. The record is from RNAcentral.